GAUGAACGCUGGCGGCGUGCUUAACACAUGCAAGUCGAACGAUGAAGCCCAGCUUGCUGGGUGGAUUAGUGGCGAACGGGUGAGUAACACGUGAGUAACCUGCCCUUAACUCUGGGAUAAGCCUGGGAAACUGGGUCUAAUACCGGAUAGGAGCGUCCACCGCAUGGUGGGUGUUGGAAAGAUUUAUCGGUUUUGGAUGGACUCGCGGCCUAUCAGCUUGUUGGUGAGGUAAUGGCUCACCAAGGCGACGACGGGUAGCCGGCCUGAGAGGGUAACCGGCCACACUGGGACUGAGACACGGCCCAGACUCCUACGGGAGGCAGCAGUGGGGAAUAUUGCACAAUGGGCGCAAGCCUGAUGCAGCGACGCCGCGUGAGGGAUGACGGCCUUCGGGUUGUAAACCUCUUUCAGUAGGGAAGAAGCGAAAGUGACGGUACCUGCAGAAGAAGCACCGACUAACUACGUG
This 466-nucleotide ribosomal RNA is filed under the name uncultured bacterium. RNAcentral describes it as "partial 16S ribosomal RNA". It matches the Rfam family "Bacterial small subunit ribosomal RNA", at positions 28 to 507 of the family's 1533-position model. The record is from RNAcentral.